RNAcentral lists this ribosomal RNA (389 nucleotides) under Dactylopterus volitans (flying gurnard). Its description in RNAcentral is "partial 16S ribosomal RNA". It matches the Rfam family "Bacterial large subunit ribosomal RNA", at positions 1963 to 2502 of the family's 2925-position model. Lineage: Eukaryota; Metazoa; Chordata; Actinopteri; Syngnathiformes; Dactylopteridae. The record is from RNAcentral.
AAUCACUCGUCUUUUAAAUGAAGACCUGUAUGAAUGGCUUAACGAGGGCUUAACUGUCUCCUCUUUCAAAUCAAUGAAAUUGAUCUCCCCGUGCAGAAGCGGGGAUAUAUCCAUAAGACGAGAAGACCCUGUGGAGCUUUAGACAUAAGACGAAACCACGUUCAGCACCUCUAAAUAAAGAACAAAACUCUGUGGGCCCCUUCCGUCUGAAUGUCUUUGGUUGGGGCGACCGCGGGGUAAUAAACAACCCCCAAGAGGACAGGGAGCAAUGCUCCUACAACCAAGAAUUGCAAUUCUAAUUAACAGAAUUUCUGACCAUUUGAUCCGGCACGCCGAUCAACGGACCGAGUUACCCCAGGGAUAACAGCGCAAUCCCCUUAUAGAGACCC